This 484-nucleotide ribosomal RNA is filed under the name uncultured bacterium. RNAcentral's name for it is "partial 16S ribosomal RNA". It matches the Rfam family "Bacterial small subunit ribosomal RNA", at positions 30 to 507 of the family's 1533-position model. The record is from RNAcentral.
AUUGAACGCUGGCGGCAGGCCUAACACAUGCGAGUCGAGCGGAUGAAGGGAGCUUGCUCCUGGAUUCAGCGGCGGACGGGUGAGUAAUGCCUAGGAAUCUGCCUGGUAGUGGGGGAUAACGUCCGGAAACGGGCGCUAAUACCGCAUACGUCCUGAGGGAGAAAGUGGGGGAUCUUCGGACCUCACGCUAUCAGAUGAGCCUAGGUCGGAUUAGCUAGUUGGUGGGGUAAAGGCCUACCAAGGCGACGAUCCGUAACUGGUCUGAGAGGAUGAUCAGUCACACUGGAACUGAGACACGGUCCAGACUCCUACGGGAGGCAGCAGUGGGGAAUAUUGGACAAUGGGCGAAAGCCUGAUCCAGCCAUGCCGCGUGUGUAAAGAAGGUCUUCGGAUUGUAAAGCACUUUAAGUUGGGAGGAAGGGCAGUAAGUUAAUACCUUGCUGUUUUGACGUUACCAACAGAAUAAGCACCGGCUAACUUCGUG